RNAcentral lists this long non-coding RNA (606 nucleotides) under Brassica napus (rape). RNAcentral's name for it is "long non-coding RNA (BNAP_LNC026497)". The record is from RNAcentral. Lineage: Eukaryota; Viridiplantae; Streptophyta; Magnoliopsida; Brassicales; Brassicaceae.
UAAUACACUUUCUCAGGAUUACACAUCUUCCAGAUAUUUCCAAAACCAUCUUCUUUUUUUGUCGGCCAAUUUUCUGAUUGAUGGUUAAAGCCAAAGAGCAAAGAGCUUAAUUACAAUUGGUAUCGGAAAUUAUAAAAUUCAGAAAGGCCCAUAAGAGUUAAAUAUACAUUAACUAGAUUACAGUGAAGCCCAAAUAAGAAGCAGUGUGUCUUGUACUUUUCUCCACGCGUUAAGCUUCCCGAGGCUUGUAUUGUAUCGAACAGUUCAGUUAAUAUCAUGGUCAAUGCUCUAUGUUAUGUUUUUAAAAUUCUAAUAAUCUAUUAAUUAUUUGUUUUUCAGUUGAGUUUAUUAGUUAUUCGUUGUCUUCUUUCAUUAAUCUUCCCGAGACACAUAGUUAACACCAUGUCCGUUCCACCUUUAAUGCACGUAAAGAAUGUGCUUCAAACCUUCAAGCCACAAUUUUUUUUGCCACAUUUAAGAAUAUAGUUGUGACUUGUGAACGUUGUGUUAGUAAAUUUAACCUGUAUUGUAUCGAACAGUUCAGUUAAUACUAGCAAGGUCAAUGCUCUAUGUUAUGUUUUUAAAAUUCUAAUAAUCUAUUAAUUA